UUAGGGUGGACUGCAAGAGACAUUACUGUGGAAAACCUGGAAGGCAAAAGUGAAGCAGCAGCCAUUUUGUAGCUGACCCGUAUUGUCUCUGAUCUACUGACUCAUCUCAUUGGCAUGAAGCAGUGGCCACAUCUGAAACUACUCCAUCAUCCCCUGGAUCUUUCUUCAGCUUCUCUUACUCCUUGCCCAGAUGUUGUGGAAGAUGCAACCGUGACUAAGCAGUAGCUAUCCUCCAGAAGACAACAGCCUUACAGCAAAGAUAAAACAAGCCAACAAAUAUGCAAUGGGGAAGUAAAAAGAGAUAGCAAUGCCGCUGUUAGGGGAGAGGAUUUGGUGAUUUAUAGAAGAAGAGAGAAAUAAGGAAGAAGAAAAGAGGAGAGAAAAAGUGAAGAAAGACAAAUCCAGAUGAUCUUGGAAGCUCACUUCCUCCCAUGUGGGAGCUUAGCAAGAUACUAAUAACAGCUGAGGUGGGACAGGGACUCUUCUAAUAAGCUUACUUCCUAAAUCAGGAACAGUUACCUAAAACAGUUAGCACUGUUACAGAGUCAAGAGACCAGAGGUUCUCCGUCCUCCUAGGUAGAAAUAUGCAGAACUUUACAUACAGGGUCCCUCGGCUAGAGGCCUGUCCAUGGUGUCUGCAGGCUGGCUAUGCUCAGAUUAAGCAAGAUUCUUUGUGGGAUAAGAAAAGCCACUUUGUUGGUAUUCCUAUCAAAAAUUUAAAUAACCUGAAUCUAAUCAUGAGGAAACAUCAGAUAAACCCAAAUGGAGAAACAUUCUAAAAAAGAACUGACCUUACUCUUCAAGAAUAUCAAUGGCAAGAAAAACUCAGGAAGUGUUCCAGACUAAAGGAGACAAAAGUGACAGUUGAAGGCAAUGCGUGACUAGAAAUUUCCUUUUGCUAUAAAGAAUAUUAAAGAGGUAAUUGGUGGAAUCUGAAUAAAGUACAUAGAUUGUUAA
Molecule: long non-coding RNA, 957 nt
Organism: Pan troglodytes (chimpanzee)
Lineage: Eukaryota; Metazoa; Chordata; Mammalia; Primates; Hominidae
Exons: 3
Source: RefSeq, a predicted model, not a curated record